RNAcentral lists this ribosomal RNA (301 nucleotides) under uncultured bacterium. RNAcentral's name for it is "partial 16S ribosomal RNA". It matches the Rfam family "Bacterial small subunit ribosomal RNA", at positions 509 to 809 of the family's 1533-position model. The record is from RNAcentral.
CAGUAGCCGCGGUAAUACAGAGGGUGCAAGCGUUAAUCGGAAUUACUGGGCGUAAAGCGCGCGUAGGUGGUUUGUUAAGUUGGAUGUGAAAUCCCCGGGCUCAACCUGGGAACUGCAUCCAAAACUGGCAAGCUAGAGUAUGGUAGAGGGUGGUGGAAUUUCCUGUGUAGCGGUGAAAUGCGUAGAUAUAGGAAGGAACACCAGUGGCGAAGGCGACCACCUGGACUGAUACUGACACUGAGGUGCGAAAGCGUGGGGAGCAAACAGGAUUAGAUACCCCAGUAGUCCCUGUCUCUUAUAA